CCUAGUCGCUUCGAUAAACACAACCCACCUCUUAACGCGUUCCGAUUGCUUGUAGUCACUUGCAAUCGGCCUCCCGCGGCACCUGUGACCCGGCUCGGCUCGAACUCUCGCACGACCACCUGAACAGCCACCAAUCCGCGAUCCGUCUAUUCUGGAGUUUAUUUCCUGUUACCACGAUGCUCCAGAUCCGUUUUCAUGAUUUUUGGACGUCUAUCCCGCGUGCUGCGGCUAUCUGUACCAAAACAGACCGUUUCGUCAAUAACUUCGCGUACAUUCGUCGGAUUGUCGAACCGAGUAUUUCAUCACGUUCGUUUUAUCCCCAAUUAGAUUUAC
RNAcentral lists this long non-coding RNA (333 nucleotides) under Ananas comosus (pineapple). RNAcentral describes it as "long non-coding RNA (ACOM_LNC012278)". Lineage: Eukaryota; Viridiplantae; Streptophyta; Magnoliopsida; Poales; Bromeliaceae. The record is from RNAcentral.